This 573-nucleotide unclassified non-coding RNA is filed under the name Hevea brasiliensis (rubber tree). The record is from RNAcentral. Lineage: Eukaryota; Viridiplantae; Streptophyta; Magnoliopsida; Malpighiales; Euphorbiaceae.
GCGUGUGGAGUUACGUCGGGGAAAUUGAUGGGUUCUGUUCAGGUCAGUGUGGAUUUGAGUGGGACGCAUUCCAAGGGGAGAGUGUUUCAGAAUGGGUGGAUGAAAUUGGGGUCGAUGUCGACGGCGGAGAAGGAUAAACCGGUGGCGAUGUUGCAUAUAGCGGUUCGAGCUGAACCGGAUCCACGGUUUGUUUUUCAGUUUGGUGGUGAACCGGAGUGUAGCCCGGUGGUUUUUCAGAUUCAGGGGAAUAUUAGACAACCGGUUUUUAGCUGCAAAUUUAGUGCUGAUCGGAAUAAUCGCUCACGAUCUCUACCAACUGAUUUCAACUUAAACAAUAGAGGAUGGAUGAGAACAUUUUCUGGAGAAAGGGACAGAACAGGAAGGGAAAGAAAAGGAUGGAUGAUAAUAAUCUAUGAUCUUUCAGGCUCAGCUGUUGCAGCUGCUUCAAUGAUCACACCAUUUGUCCCCUCUCCUGGUUCGGACCGCGUCUCACGAUCAAAUGCCGGAGCAUGGCUCAUCCUCCGGCCUAAUGGCGCCUGUGUUAGCAGCUGGAAACACUGGGGUCGACUCCAG